AACAAAGUAGGGUGAGGCCCACAGGUCAGGAGACAACCACCAUCAAAAAGAUGAUUUGUCACGGGUCCCAAGAGGACAGAGCUGGCCGCAUCACCACGGUGAAGGGGCACAGGGCAAGCACCAGGUAGGCCAGGAGGCAGAGGGUGCGAGGAACGUGGUGUGGGAAGGACCAGGCCAGGGGGUGGACAGGUGGAGAACUGGCUGGUUGCAUUAAUGCCAGCUGGUCUGGGUGUAGCUCCUGGCCCUGGGGUGAUUAGGGCAGGGGGACGUUGGCCCAGAGUGUGGCCCAGUUGGGGAGCGGUUGGGGUGUGGGCUCUGGAAUCCUUGAUUUGCUUAUGAAGGGUGAUCUUGCUGGGAAGCCCUUGGAGGGGGAGCCCCUCCUGGGUCACCCCAGAUGUCAAAGCGCAGAAGCACAGGGUUAAUGCAGAGGUAAUUAGACACUAUUUUGAAUUCAAUGGAAAUUAAAACAACAUAUCAACAUUUGUGGGAUGCAGAUUGACUGGUGUUUAGGAUAGAUUUUACAGCAGUAAUUGCUGAAACGAUAAAAAAGGAAGAGAUCACAAAUCACUCUAAGCCAAGAGCCAGCAAGCUACAGCCCACCGGCCAUGUCUGGCCCCUUCUUGCUGUUGAAAAUAAAGUUAUGCUGGAG
RNAcentral lists this long non-coding RNA (649 nucleotides) under Homo sapiens (human). RNAcentral describes it as "non-protein coding lnc-SLCO4A1-2:4". The record is from RNAcentral. Lineage: Eukaryota; Metazoa; Chordata; Mammalia; Primates; Hominidae.